GGCUCCGUGCUGGCCUUGCGGGGACACGCUCCGUGCCGUGCUGGCAGUGGUUCAGCGGGCCCUGCAGCUGUGUGCCGCACAAAGGCUGUACACGGGGCUGUGGUGGCACCGUGCCACGUGUGUGAGCUGGGCCCGGACCGUGCUGGCCCCGCGGGGCACCGGAGACUCUCAUUAGACUUACGAACUGCAUGCACCACGGCCUCUGUGUUUUACUGGGGGUGUGUGGUGGGGGUAGCCGUGGUGGUGACAAGAGGAUGGCCACAGGGGGACGACCAUGGUGAAGACUGGGGGAUGGCCAAGGUAAUAAGAGGGACAGCUAUGGUGCUGACAAAGCUCUGAUGGUAACCAGGGGACAGCCCCUGUGGAAACUGGAAAAGUACAGUUGUGCUGGUAACAAGAGGAUGGCCACGGUGAUAACAGGAGGACAGCUGUGGUGAUAGCAAGAGGACGGCCAUGGUUGUGACAAGGGGACAGUAAAGGUGGGUGACCGAGGGGUGGCUACAGUGUUGACAAGAGGAUGAGCCUGAGAGGACAGCCACAGAGGUGAAAAAGGGAUGGCUGUGGUGGUGACAAGGCUGUGGUGGUGAUGAGGGGACAGCAGUGAUUCUGGUGUUACUGGGAGAAGCAAUUGCGGUGGCUGCUGGUGGUGGCCAUGCUUUGGGGACACUCUAAGAGGAGGUCACCAGCUUAAUGGUGCCUGGCAGGCUUCAUCUGCCAGGUGACACUGUGGAUGCUGUGGGGCAUGGCCACCCCAUGCCACUGUCUCUAGCUGUGGCACAUGUAGGUGUGGGGUUGUCUCCAUGCUGCCAUAGGGACAGGCUUGUUUCCUUUCUGUGUCGCUUCUGCCUGUGGUACUUGCUGGCAUCCCUGUGUCACCACAGAUGGACAUGUGUCACUAGUGUCCGCCAACACACAGGGUGACCUUGUGCCACCAGAGCUGGGACCUCUGGAUUGCCUUAGCAGCUCUGUUCCUCAUGUUCUCUUGUGACUGUGGUCCCCUUAUGCCCGUGUUCCACAUCUCCCUGUGUGCUCCAUGUCCCUUGUGUUCCCAUGUUGUCUGUAUCCUUCAUGUCCCCCUACGUCCCCCAUCUCCCUGUGUUCCCAUAUCAGCUGUGUACUCAGUGUCCCUCUGUAGCCCCUUACCAGCUGUGUUCCUUCGUCCCCCAUGUUCAGAUACCCCCUAUAUCCCGUGUCCCUCUUUGUCCCCCAUUCUCCCAUGUCCCCUGUAUUCCCCUUGUCCCGUGCCCCUGUAUCAGCUCUGUACCCAAUGUCCUUGAUGUUCCUGUGUCCCCGUGUUUCUAUAUCCCCUGUACCCCCUAUGUCCCUCGUGUCCUCCAUGCCCAGAAUAUACAGCCACAUGUGUCCCCUGUCCUGUCCCCCCUGCAGUGGGGCUGGCCCGGCUCCGUGGGGACAUGGCCUGAAGGGCACAAGAGUGGCACCUAGUCUCCAGUGGGGUGGAGGUGGCUCCGGGGUGCGGGGGGCUCAUGACUCCCCCUCGCCGUGUCCCGGUCCUUCCCCAGCCCCGGGCGGCGGAGGAGGGGCUGUUCCCGGGGGCGGGGAGGCGGGGGCAUGAUUCCCGGAGACGGUCCUGGUGCUGUUCCUGGAAUAGCAUUUCCAAAUCCCUUCCUAGGGAUAAGUUCCCGAUGCCGUUCCCGGGAACGCGUUCCGGGGAUUACAUUCCCAGUCCCGUUUCUGGGGAUGCACUCCCAAGGAUGAUGGGGCUCCCGGCGGCGUUCUCAUGGAUAACACUCCCGGUGCCGAUGCCCGGCGCCAAUCUCGGGAUACCAUUCCCGGGUAUAACCUUGGCCGUGCUGUUCCUGGGAGUUCCCUUCGCGUGUCUCUAUUCCCGACACCGAUGCGCGGUGCCAUUCCCAUGACUAACAUUCUCGAUACCGAUUCCCGGUGCCGUUCUCAUGGCAAGCGUUCACGGAUGCGAUGCCAGUUGCCGUUCCAGGGGGGUUUGUUCGUGAUCCACUGCCCGUUUCCGUUCCCUGGGGCGAUACCCCCUGCCAUUCCCACCGUUCCCGGUGCCCGUUCUCGGAGGUGAUGCCCAGUGCCGUUCCCGGGGCUACCUCUCCCAGUGCCUAUUCCCGUUCCCGGGGGCGGGGGCAGGUAGCGGCAGGUGCGCGGAGGCAGGGCCGUUGGCGGGGGCGGGGCAGCGGCGCCGGUGCUCGCACCGGCCGAGCUGCCGCCGUUGCCACCGCCGUUGCCGCCGCCAUGGCCGGUACCGGAGCCCGGUGGAUGCCGCUGGCGCUGUGUCUGGCUGUCAUCGUGUCACCGGGACGCACCGGAGAGCAGCUACACGUCUGCAAAGAGUCCGAGUACCACUAUGAGUACACAGCAUGUGACAGCUCAGGAUCGCGCUGGAGGGUGGCUGUACCACACACACCUGGACUCUGCACUGGCCUGCCUGACCCUGUCAGGGGCACUGAAUGUUCAUUCUCCUGCAAGGCGGGUGAGUUCCUGGAGAUGCAGACGCAGACGUGCCGGCCCUGCGCUGUGGGCACCUACUCGCUUGGCACUGGUGUCCGCUUCGAUGAGUGGGAUGAGGUGCCCCAUGGCUUUGCCAACGUGGCCACCAACCUGGAGGUGGAUGAUGGCUUUGGCGAUGCAGCAGAGAACUGCACAGCGUCAACAUGGGUGCCUCUGGGGGACUACGUGGCCUCCAACACAGAUGAGUGCACGGCCACCCUCAUGUAUGCUGUGAGCCUCAAGCAGUCGGGGACUGUCACCUUCGAGUACAUCUACCCUGACAGCAGCAUCGUCUUUGAAUUCUUCGUGCAGAACGACCAGUGCCAGCCCACGGUGGAGGAGUCCCGCUGGAUGCGGACGACAGAGAAGGGCUGGGAAUUACACAGCGUGGAGCUGAGCCGUGGGAACAACGUGCUGUACUGGCGGACCACCGCCUUCUCCGUCUGGUCCAAGGUGCCUAAACCAGUGCUGGUGAGGAACAUCGGCAUUACAGGGGUGGCCUUCACUUCCGAGUGCUUCCCCUGCAAGCCCGGCACUUUCGCCCCCGCGUCCGGCUCAACCGCCUGCCAGCUCUGUCCCGCCGACACCUUCUCUGGCAAAGGAGCCACCGCCUGCCAGCCCUGCGACUCUGACACCUACGCUGAGCCCGGCUCGGGGUCCUGCAAGCCACGCCCACCCUGCACGGACAAGGAUUUCUUCUACACCCACACGGCCUGCGACGCCAGUGGGGAGACCCAGCUGAUGUACAAGUGGGCAGAGCCCAAAAUCUGCAGCGAGGAGCUGCCGCAGGCGGCCCGGCUGCCAUCCUCGGGGAUCAAGACCCAAUGCCCCCCCUGCAACCCUGGCUUUGCCAAAGGCAACAGUAGCACCUGCCAGCCCUGUCCCUAUGGCUUCUAUUCCAACGGCUCCGCCUGCCUCAGUUGCCCAGAGGGCACUGAGCCGGUGCUGGGCUUGGAGUACAAGUGGUGGAACGUGCUGCCCCCCAACAUGGAGACCACCGUGCUCAGCGGCAUCAACUUCGAGUACAAGGGCAUUGCAGGCUGGGAGGUAGCUGGGGACUACAUUUACACGGCAGCUGGAGCCUCUGACAGCGACUUCAUGAUCCUCACGCUGGUGGUCCCUGGCUUCAGCCCUCCAAGCCCAGUGCUGGAGGACACAGAGAGCAGGGAGGUGGCCAGGAUCACCUUUGUUUUCGAGACGCUGUGCAGUGUUGGCUGUGAGCUCUACUUUAUGGUGGGUGUCAACUCACACACCAACACUCCGGUGGAGACAUGGACAGGCUCCACGGGGAAACAAUCCUACACCUACCUGGUGGAGAAGAACGCGACCAUGAGCUUCACCUGGGCCUUCCAGCGUACCCCCUACCACGAGGCGGGCCGGCGGUUCACCAGUGAUGUGGCCAAGCUGUACAGCAUCAACGUCACCAAUGUGCAGGGCGGGGUGGCCUCCUUCUGCCGCCGCUGUGCCCCCCAGCCCACAGGGUCCUGUGCCCCGUGUUCCCCUGGCAGUGCUGUGGACCCCAGCUCAGGCACCUGCCAGCCUUGCCCACCUGGCACCUACCUGUGGGGCCACCCCUCCGAUGGGACGCCCACCUGCCACCCCUGUGGCCCUGGCACACGCAGCAACCAGCUGCGAUCGCUAUGCUACAACAACUGCAGCCUGGCACUGGCACUGCCAGGCCAGAUGCUGCACUUCGAGUUCCCAUCGCUGGGCCAAGGUGCCGGGGUGGGCACUGGGUCCAGCUUCACCCCCAAAGGGCUGCGCUACAGCCAUCACUUCCGCCUUAGCCUCUGUGGGCAUCAGGGCAGGAAGAUGGCCUCAUGUGCUGACAAUGUGACAGCAGGUCUGGGGGGCCCUGCCCGUGUGGUUACCUCUUAUGUGUGCCAGGCCAUUCUGGUGCCCCCUGAUGUCACUGGUGCCCGUGCAGCCGUGUCUUCUCAGCCCAUCAGCCUGGGUGACCACUUGCUGGGUGUCACCACCAGCUCCGUGCUGGACGGCAUCGUGUCUCCCCCAGAGCUCUUCCCCCCCAGCCACCCUGACCUGCCUGACAUCAUCUUCUUCUUCAGGUCCAACGACAUGACACAGCCCUGCAGCAGUGGCCGGGCCACCACCAUCCGCCUGCGUUGUGACCCCCUGCGCGUUGGUACUGGCACGCUGGCUGUCCCCAGCAAAUGCCCCGAGGGCACCUGCGACGGCUGCACCUUCCAUUUCUUGUGGGUGACGGCCGAGGGAUGUCCCCGCUGCUCCAGCUCCCACCACCGCCCCAUUGUCGGCGCCUGUAUCGGCGGCGUUCAGGUAUCGCCCCGUGCCCCGGGCUGGGCUGCGGCUCCUACGGCCCCUGAACCCCCUUUCCCCUCCACCAGAAAACCACCUACGUGUGGCGAGAGCCCCGGCUGUGCCACGGCGGAGACGCCCUACCGCCGCAGGUGAUCCAGGCAUGCCGGAGCGUGGAUUUUUGGCUAAAAGUGGGAAUUUCCACUGGGACGUGCGUGGCCGUCUUGCUAGCCGCGCUCGCCGCUUAUUUCUGGAAAAAGACUCAAAAGUUGGAAUACAAAUAUUCCAAGCUGGUGAUGGACGCGGCAGCCCGGGAGACCGACGCGACGUCGCCCGACAGCUGCGCCAUCAUGGAGGGGGAGGACGCGGAGGACGAGCUGCUCUUUGCCACCGAAAUGUCACUUUUUG
RNA transcript from Serinus canaria (Common canary), 5154 nucleotides. It is a transcript of the gene named endosome-lysosome associated apoptosis and autophagy regulator 1, with no coding region annotated. NCBI's taxonomy places the organism in Eukaryota, Metazoa, Chordata, Aves, Passeriformes, Fringillidae. The record is from RefSeq and is a predicted model, not a curated record. The transcript has 20 exons.